GGUGAACGCUGGCGGUGUGCCUAAUACAUGCAAGUCGAGCGACAAGACGAGAAGAUCGCUCCUCUACCGUUAGCGACGGACGGGCGAGUAACAAGUAGAUAACAAUCUACUAUGUCUGGGAUGACUUCGGGAAACAGGUGAUACUACUGGCUCAUAUAUCCAACGGCAUGGUUCAGUAGAGCAAGACGGCUUUCCUGUCUGUUAUAGCUGGAUCCGCGUCGCAUUAGCUAGUUGGUAAGGUAACGGCUUACCAAGGCGACGAUGCGUAGCUGACCUGAGAGGAUGAUCAGCCACACUGGAACUGAGACACGGUCCAGACUCCUACGGGAGGCAGCAGUGGGGAAUCUUCGACAAUGGGCGAAAGCCUGACGCAGCAACACCGCGUGGGUGAUGAAGGUCUUCGGAUCGUAAAGCUCUGUUGUUAGGAAAGAACAGAUGUGUGUUUAUCUAUGCACGUCUUGACGGUACCUAAACAGAAAGCCACGGCUAACUUCGUG
RNAcentral lists this ribosomal RNA (497 nucleotides) under uncultured bacterium. Its description in RNAcentral is "partial 16S ribosomal RNA". It matches the Rfam family "Bacterial small subunit ribosomal RNA", at positions 28 to 507 of the family's 1533-position model. The record is from RNAcentral.